This 467-nucleotide ribosomal RNA is filed under the name uncultured bacterium. RNAcentral's name for it is "partial 16S ribosomal RNA". It matches the Rfam family "Bacterial small subunit ribosomal RNA", at positions 28 to 506 of the family's 1533-position model. The record is from RNAcentral.
GACGAACGCUGGCGGCGUGCUUAACACAUGCAAGUCGAACGGAAAGGCCCUGCUUUUGUGGGGUGCUCGAGUGGCGAACGGGUGAGUAACACGUGAGUAACCUGCCCUUGACUUUGGGAUAACUUCAGGAAACUGGGGCUAAUACCGGAUAGGAGCUCCUGCUGCAUGGUGGGGGUUGGAAAGUUUCGGCGGUUGGGGAUGGACUCGCGGCUUAUCAGCUUGUUGGUGGGGUAGUGGCUUACCAAGGCUUUGACGGGUAGCCGGCCUGAGAGGGUGACCGGCCACAUAGGAACUGGGAUGCGGCCCAGACGCCUACGGGAGGCAGGGGUGGGAAAUAUUGCACAAUGGGCGGAAGCCGGAUGCAGCAACGCCGCGUGCGGGAUGACGGCCUUCGGGUUGUAAACCGCUUUCGCCUGUGACGAAGCGUGAGUGACGGUAAUGGGGAAAGAAGCACCGGCUAACUACGU